GGAGGGUGCGGCUCAGGCGAAAGAAUGAGGGGCGGGUUCCCCUCCUGAUCUCAGAGAAGCUCCCAAAAGGGCAGCGGCGUGCCCACCUGCCGCCACCUCGGGCGGCCGCGAACCAUUCAAAUCGCCCGCGCCAAGAGCUACCCGGCGCUCGCGAUUGGCUGAGCCGGACCAGCGCCCCUGGGCGGGGCCGGCCCCCUCGCAGCGGCCGCGGGUCCCGCCCCCACGCAGGGGCCGCGGGUCCCGCCCCGCUGGUGCGCAUGCGCGCAGUCCCCAGAGGAAAGAGUCUGCGCACACCCCCGCCCGGCCUCCGACUCGCGCCGCGGCUCCCUCCCCUGUCCGCGGAGGCUUGUCGGCUCGGCGAGACAGCAAGAGCUGCGGCCGGCAGGGGGCUGUGCGGACCCAAGGCGGCUGCGGUGGCGCCGGCUUGUGGAAAAUGCCACCAGGCAGCGCUUCGGUUCGUUGCUCGUGUGACGGCCGUUCCCCCCCCACAUCCCUGAACCCCCUGCGACCGCCGGGGAAGAACCGGCCCGCGCAGUGAGUACCGCACCGAGACGCUUCGGCGGGAACGAGGCCGACGGCCGGCUGUGCCGGUUGCGCCCCUGAGAAUUACCAAGGAGUUGUUAAAAAUGACCGUAUUUUCUACCUCUGAAUGAAAUUAAGCAAAGACCGAAGUACGAAAAGGUCAUCGAAACAAGAGACUAUAAAAGAAACCUGAGAAUAGCGGUACACUGCUAAUGAUAGCCUAAAAUUUAAUUUAAAGUCAGUCCUGAAACUGUGUAAUGGUUAAGGAUUGAGUUUCUAUCCUCAUCCACAUGUUUAAAGAAUCUUCUGUAUUGGCUAUCUCUAACCAAAUUAGUGGGAAUGGGAGAGGGCGGGGAACAGCUGACUAAGAAUCUACUCAUCUAUAGUCCUUUUAUCUUUUCAUUUAGAAGGGUAAGCUACUGAAUGUCAUAUAUAUAAUGCGGUACAUAAAACGUGAUAAAUGCUGCACCUAACACACAAAGUCUACAAUAGACCAUAGAUCUACAAAGGACUAUGAUCUAUGGAUCAGAACUAGCAGAGUUAACAUCAACCCAGUUCCUAGCAAACGUUGCUAACUUAUGGCCAUAGCUAUCAUUUCAGGCCCAAUACCCCCUUUAUAAAAGCAAAUAUUCUGUAGACCCCCUUCCCUUCCAAAUGAGGCACUCUAUCUUCAAGUAUAAUUUUUAAGUAAAUUUAAAUCAAUUUAGAAUAAUGGAAUAUAUGUUAUUGUACAUUCAUAACUAUACUAUAUUCCUAUUCCUACACCCCGCUUAAUUAUAAUAAGUAAGUUAGGAUCAGGGAAAGCAAUAUGAGAAAUUAUCCCACACGGGAAGUUCAGGAAAAAUGAAA
This is a long non-coding RNA of Camelus dromedarius (Arabian camel), 1371 nucleotides long. RefSeq lists it as uncharacterized. The transcript has 2 exons. Lineage: Eukaryota; Metazoa; Chordata; Mammalia; Artiodactyla; Camelidae. The record is from RefSeq and is a predicted model, not a curated record.